Long non-coding RNA from Drosophila yakuba, 956 nucleotides. RefSeq lists it as uncharacterized. The transcript is spliced from 2 exons. The record is from RefSeq and is a predicted model, not a curated record. Lineage: Eukaryota; Metazoa; Arthropoda; Insecta; Diptera; Drosophilidae.
CUAUCGAGAAGGCUGCCAUAAUGCUUGAGAAAUGAAACAGGCAGAAUAAAAAGGUAUUUUUCACUUUUUUUUAUUUUGACUAAAAAAAACAGGUGUUUGAGCCUCAAAAAGAGAUAAAAAAACACAACAUUCCAAUAGCAAAAAUUUUGCGAAAACCAGAGCACCUAAAAACGAUCAGGGAAAUGAUAGGAAUUCUGCCGGAGUUGGAUCCAAUUCAUUGCUGUUUGCAGUGCAGCAUAAGAUGCGUGAAGUUGCAAAAACAUGACUGGAUGCACAGCAGCGCAGACUCGUCUGAAUAAGGAAGACUUGGAAAACAUGUUAAAUAAUCAGGUAUUUAUUGCACAAAAUUAAAUUAAGGUGCAGUCCACCACUUGUGUGUGUAUGUUGCAUAAAAGUUGCGCAUAAAUUACCUUAAUAAAUUUUUGGCAUUUUGUAAAUUGGAAAACCAAUUAAAUAACUUCUAUACUUCUUCAAUAAAACAAAAAAAAAGUAAACUGCCUUUGACAAAAUCGUCGUUCGUGGAAAUUUCUGUGGAAGUCUGGAAAACUUAACAAGCUCCUUACAUGACUUAUCGCCGCUAUAUAUGAACGGCGAUGUGCCGUUACUUUUGAUUUCGCUUCGUGCAGUGCAUUCUUAGCUAUAAAGCAAUUGUUUUUUAACGACGCAUAUAUGGAUAAUAGUAGCUCCCAAAAUGUAUGAAUUUGUAGGUGCCAAGUGGCCAUCUUUAACCCUUAUGGGAUUCACAAAUAAAAAUUUGGGAAAUUUUACUUUUGAAUAAAAGUCAAAAUUUGGUGAAGUUGCUGUUAAUUAUUAUAUUCAUUUAAAAUAAAGUUUGAAUUUUAAUGCUUAUAUGCUGAAUAAAUAUUUUUCGGAUAUUUUCAUACUGUCGCCAAUUAUUGAGCCAGACAUUUAAUGUUGUAACUUGUUUCAAUAAAUUCCAAUAAUUUUAAAAAUGA